Molecule: long non-coding RNA, 364 nt
Organism: Triplophysa rosa
Lineage: Eukaryota; Metazoa; Chordata; Actinopteri; Cypriniformes; Nemacheilidae
Exons: 3
Source: RefSeq, a predicted model, not a curated record
ACAGAUGAAAACGCAGUGCUGGCGGUAUGAGAUUUCAGCACGGGUCCAGAUUAAACUGGACUCUCCCAAAUGAGAGCUGACAGGCUCAACGAGCAGCAGAUCAUUUCUGGUGAGCGGAGCAGUCUGUGGAACCCGCCCCCACGGAGCAGAGGUGAGUCGGGUGGACCUGCCAGUCUGUGCAUGCUGAUGAGAUUGCGAGCGUGGCCAGAGUACGAGGCGAUGCGCCGCAAACGGGAAGUUGGCUUUGUUGACACAGCAUCUUUGCCAUUUUCAUGGUGAGCUGACUAAACAUCCAGCGCUGCGGGUCGUGUUUCACCAUUGACAGCAGACUCUGGACACCUUCUUUACAGAAAUUCCUCUUGAG